Molecule: transfer RNA, 73 nt
Filed under: Candidatus Melainabacteria bacterium
Lineage: Bacteria; Bacillati; Candidatus Melainabacteria
Description: tRNA-Ala
Rfam family: tRNA
About the family: Transfer RNA (tRNA) molecules are approximately 80 nucleotides in length. Their secondary structure includes four short double-helical elements and three loops (D, anti-codon, and T loops). Further hydrogen bonds mediate the characteristic L-shaped molecular structure. tRNAs have two regions of fundamental functional importance: the anti-codon, which is responsible for specific mRNA codon recognition, and the 3' end, to which the tRNAs corresponding amino acid is attached (by aminoacyl-tRNA synthetases). tRNAs cope with the degeneracy of the genetic code in two manners: having more than one tRNA (with a specific anti-codon) for a particular amino acid; and 'wobble' base-pairing, i.e. permitting non-standard base-pairing at the 3rd anti-codon position.
Source: RNAcentral
GGGCUCAUAGCUCAGCUGGUAGAGCGCCUGCCUUGCACGCAGGAGGUCAUCGGUUCGAUCCCGAUUGGGUCCA